Molecule: ribosomal RNA, 229 nt
Filed under: uncultured bacterium
Lineage: Bacteria
Description: partial 16S ribosomal RNA
Rfam family: Bacterial small subunit ribosomal RNA
Source: RNAcentral
CGGGGUGAGUAAUGUAUGGGGAUCUGCCUGAUGGCGGGGGAUAACUACUGGAAACGGUAGCUAAUACCGCAUAAUGUCUGCGGACCAAAGCGGGGGACCUCCGGGCCUCGCGCCAUCAGAUGAACCCAUAUGGGAUUAGCUAGUAGGUAAGGUAACGGCUUACCUAGGCGACGAUCCCUAGCUGGUCUGAGAGGAUGAUCAGCCACACUGGGACUGAGACACGGUCCAG